RNAcentral lists this ribosomal RNA (116 nucleotides) under Mannheimia cairinae. Lineage: Bacteria; Pseudomonadati; Pseudomonadota; Gammaproteobacteria; Pasteurellales; Pasteurellaceae. The record is from RNAcentral.
CCCGACGACCAUAGUGCGGUUGUUCCACCUGACUCCAUCCCGAACUCAGAAGUGAAAAGCCGUAACGCCGAUGGUAGUGUAGUGUUUCGCUAUGUGAGAGUAGGACAUCGUCGGGU